CCGUUUGAGUUAAUCAACGUCAGGGACCAACGUUUUGGGCUGAAUAUCUCCAUAUCGACCGCUACCAGAGCCCUAUUCGUGACAGCGGUAAAUUAAUCAAAAUUCAUCAACGGGCUCCCAAACCUGCAUGUACAUGUGGAUGACCCCUGGGGCUGACAGAUGCCAUCCAGUAGCCACCGAGGGGGAAGACCCAUGAGGGUCAACAACCCCUGGAUUGGGCAAACCUGAAAACUGGGGAGUCACCGAAGUCUGCCAAGGACAGAUAAAAAGCACUGAAAAGUGACCCUUGAUCUCCAACUUGACCAGCACCCGACCUGUCUAGCCAGAAGGACUAGCCGGUGACCCCCUUCUGGAGGAUAACACCACGCUGGAAGAAGCCUCAACUGGCCAUUGAUGGCAGACUCCAGCACUUGUGGGAUAGGUAUACCCAACUCUGGUGUCCCCCAUCCCCACAAACAUUCGUAGCUUCCUACUGUGUGUGUGCAUGUGUGUGUGUGUGUGAGGGGACCAGCCCCAAAGUUUAUGAUUUGACUUCAUUACAGUGUUUCAAUCUGCCUAAUAAACCAGAAUUUCAAGAAUCCUGAGUUGGACAUUUGUAGCCAACAAAUUCUACUGGGAGACAGGGA
Long non-coding RNA from Gavialis gangeticus (Gharial), 626 nucleotides. RefSeq lists it as uncharacterized. The record is from RefSeq and is a predicted model, not a curated record. NCBI's taxonomy places the organism in Eukaryota, Metazoa, Chordata, Crocodylia, Gavialidae. The transcript is spliced from 3 exons.